RNAcentral lists this ribosomal RNA (253 nucleotides) under uncultured bacterium. Its description in RNAcentral is "partial 16S ribosomal RNA". It matches the Rfam family "Bacterial small subunit ribosomal RNA", at positions 524 to 776 of the family's 1533-position model. The record is from RNAcentral.
UACGGGGGGGGCAAGCGUUGUUCGGAAUUACUGGGCGUAAAGGGCUCGUAGGUGGCCAACUAAGUCAGACGUGAAAUCCCUCGGCUUAACCGGGGAACUGCGUCUGAUACUGGAUGGCUUGAGGUUGGGAGAGGGAUGCGGAGUUCCAGGUGUAGCGGUGAAAUGCGUAGAUAUCUGGAGGAACACCGGUGGCGAAGGCGGCAUCCUGGACCAAUUCUGACACUGAGGAGCGAAAGCCAGGGGAGCAAACGGG